This 680-nucleotide small RNA is filed under the name Pan troglodytes (chimpanzee). RNAcentral's name for it is "processed transcript". Lineage: Eukaryota; Metazoa; Chordata; Mammalia; Primates; Hominidae. The record is from RNAcentral.
CCCAAUCUCAAUCCGGAGGCCAGUAGCACCAGGAUAUGUCUUAAAGAGCUGGGAACCUUUGCUCAAAGCUCCAUCGCCCUUCACCAUCAGUACAACCCCAAGUUUCAGACCCUGUUCCAACCCUGUAACUUGAUGGGAGCUAUGCAGCUGAUUGAAGACUUCAGCACACAUGUCAGCAUUGACUGCAGCCCUCAUAAAACUGUCAAGAAGACUGGUAGGAGACAGAUGUGUCAGCUUUAAGUUUUUACUUGCGCCAAUGAAUUUCCCUGUUUGCCAAAGCAAGUGGCUUGGAUCCUGGCCACAAGCAAGGUUUUCAUGUAUCCAGAGUUACUUCCAGUGUGUUCCCUGAAGGCAAAGAAUCCCCAGGAUAAGAUCCUCUUCACCAAGGCUGAGGACAACAAGUACCUUCUAACCUGCAAGACUGCCCGCCAACUGACAGUGAGAAUCAAGAACCUCAACAUGAACAGAGCUCCUGACAACAUCAUUAAAUUUUAUAAGAAGACCAAACAGCUGCCAGUCCUAGGAAAAUGCUGUGAAGAGAUCCAGCCACAUCAGUGGAAGCCACCUAUAGAGAGAGAAGAACACCGGCUCCCAUUCUGGUUAAAGGCCAGUCUGCCAUCCAUCCAGGAAGAACUGCGGCACAUGGCUGAUGGUGCUAGAGAGGUAGGAAAUAUGACUGG